GGGUUGUGAGGUUAAGCGACUAAGCGUACACGGUGGAUGCCCUGGCAGUCAGAGGCGAUGAAGGACGUGCUAAUCUGCGAAAAGCGCCGGCGAGGUGAUAUGAACCCUUGACCCGGCGAUGUCCGAAUGGGGAAACCCAGUGCAAUCCGUUGCACUAUCGUUAACUGAAUACAUAGGUUAACGAGGCGAACCGGGGGAACUGAAACAUCUAAGUACCCCGAGGAAAAGAAAUCAACCGAGAUUCCCCCAGUAGCGGCGAGCGAACGGGGAGCAGCCCAGAGUCUGA
Molecule: ribosomal RNA, 286 nt
Filed under: Enterobacter cloacae
Lineage: Bacteria; Pseudomonadati; Pseudomonadota; Gammaproteobacteria; Enterobacterales; Enterobacteriaceae
Description: partial 23S ribosomal RNA
Rfam family: Bacterial large subunit ribosomal RNA
Source: RNAcentral